GUGCUUGCUUCAGCAGCACAUAUACUAAAACUGGAACGAUACAGAGAUUAGCAUGGCCCCUGUGCAAGAAUGAUAUGCAAAUCCAUGAAGCAUUCCAUAUUUUU
RNAcentral lists this small nuclear RNA (104 nucleotides) under Castor canadensis (American beaver). The record is from RNAcentral. Lineage: Eukaryota; Metazoa; Chordata; Mammalia; Rodentia; Castoridae.